UGGGGGAUAUUGCACAAUGGGCGAAAGCCUGAUGCAGCGACGCCGCGUGGGGGAUGAAGGCUUUCGGGUUGUAAACCUCUUUCGCUAUCGAACAAGGCUUGCUUAGGGUGGGUUGAGGGUAGGUGGAGAAGAAGCGCCGGCUAACUACGUGCCAGCAGCCGCGGUAAUACGUAGGGCGCGAGCGUUGACCGGAAUUAUUGGGCGUAAAGGGCUUGUAGGCGGCUUGUUGCGCCUGCUGUUAAAACGCGGGGCUUAACUUCGCGCGUGCAGUGGGUACGGGCCGGCUUGAGUGUGGUAGGGGUGACUGGAAUUCCAGGUGUAGCGGUGGAAUGCGCAGAUAUCUGGAGGAACACCGAUGACGAAGGCAGGUCACUGGGCCAUUACUGACGCUGAGGAGCGAAAGCAUGGGUAGCGAACAGG
Molecule: ribosomal RNA, 420 nt
Filed under: bacterium
Lineage: Bacteria
Description: partial 16S ribosomal RNA
Rfam family: Bacterial small subunit ribosomal RNA
Source: RNAcentral